GCCGGGCUUGGUGGUGCACGCCUGUAAUCCCAGCUACUGGGGAGGCUGAGGCAGGAGACUUGCUUGAACCCGGGAGGUGGAGGUUGCAGUGAGCCAAGAUAUACCACUGCACUCUAGCCUGGGUGACAGAGCAAGACUCUAUCUCAA
Unclassified non-coding RNA from Papio anubis (olive baboon), 147 nucleotides. It matches the Rfam family "Metazoan signal recognition particle RNA". From Rfam's summary of the family: The signal recognition particle (SRP) is a universally conserved ribonucleoprotein. The record is from Ensembl. NCBI's taxonomy places the organism in Eukaryota, Metazoa, Chordata, Mammalia, Primates, Cercopithecidae.